Drosophila kikkawai is the source of this 906-nucleotide non-coding RNA. NCBI's taxonomy places the organism in Eukaryota, Metazoa, Arthropoda, Insecta, Diptera, Drosophilidae. The record is from RefSeq and is a predicted model, not a curated record.
GGCAGUGUCAUGCCAGUAUUACUACAAUAAAAUCAUUGGCGAUACGGAUGCCAAAACGGCUGAUAGUUGGGUCCAGGUUGUGCUGAAAGAACUCUAGCAGUUUCAUAAUCUUUGCCUUACGCUCCUGGGUAGAUGUGGCGGCAAAUCGAAUCAUCUUGGCCACCUGAGCGACUCCAUCUUUGCGCUGCGACACAGAUAAGUUUUACGAAACUAUUGCUAUUUUUCCCAUUCCUGUGCAACUUGUCAUGGUCUCGUUUCGAAAAGCGUAAAAUUUUUUCGGUGCAAGUGCAAGAAAACUACAAGAAAACAAUGGCCGAUCUGCCCGCAAUUUAAAAGAAUUCCUCGAGGGCAUCACCAGUACGUAUAGCCGCUUUGAUUUCGAGUAUUUUGCUGCUGAUAAGCGAUCUGAGCGGACUUCUUUUCAAUUAAAGAGCCACCUGCAAAAAAGGCGAAGAAAGAAGAAGCACCUCCGCAGCUGGAUCAGCAGCAGAAGGAGCAGGUCGAGGAGCAGGUCGAAGAGCACUGCGUAAGCAGCGGCGGGAUGAGCAGCGGCGGGACUGCUCCCGCCCCCCAAGGUCUCAACUGGAAGCAACGCUGGGCCUUGGCCCAGCUAGCAUGCCAAAUGGGCCAUCCUGAGAUGCGAGGAAGGAUGUUGGCAUUGCCAAACAGGGCGCCUGUUCCUGCCGGGCCGGCAGAGGAACGCGACCCUCCCGUUCCUGCCGGGCCGGCAGGACAACAAGAACCUCAGGUUCCUGCCCGCCCGGCAGGUCCGGUGUUGACAACAACCGGUGAUGAGGAAAAGGCCGACCCGGCGGCGGAUAUUGAUGUCUCCCAUGUGAAUCAUCACCGACCGUAAAAGGUAAACAAAAAAAACGGCCGCCAUUCGCGGCGUAUUACUAUGAAUUU